This 253-nucleotide ribosomal RNA is filed under the name uncultured bacterium. RNAcentral's name for it is "partial 16S ribosomal RNA". It matches the Rfam family "Bacterial small subunit ribosomal RNA", at positions 524 to 776 of the family's 1533-position model. The record is from RNAcentral.
UACGAAAAAAGCUAGCGUUGUUCGGAAUCACUGGGCGUAAAGCGCACGUAGGCGGAUUUUUAAGUCAAAGGUGAAAUCCCGAGGCUCAACCUCGGAACUGCCUUUGAUACUGGGAAUCUUGAGUAUGGUAGAGGUUGGUGGAACAGCAAGUGUAGAGGUGAAAUUCGUAGAUAUUUGCUAGAACACCAGUGGCGAAGGCGGCCAACUGGACCAUAACUGACGCUGAGGUGCGAAAGCGUGGGGAGCAAACAGG